This 433-nucleotide ribosomal RNA is filed under the name uncultured bacterium. RNAcentral's name for it is "partial 16S ribosomal RNA". It matches the Rfam family "Bacterial small subunit ribosomal RNA", at positions 29 to 507 of the family's 1533-position model. The record is from RNAcentral.
AACGAACGCUGGCGGCAGGCCUAACACAUGCAAGUCGAGCGGACCCUUCGGGGUUAGCGGCGGACGGGUGAGUAACGCGUGGGAAUAUGCCCUUCUCUACGGAAUAGUCCUGGGAAACUGGGGGUAAUACCGUAUACGCCCUUUGGGGGAAAGAUUUAUCGGGGAAGGAUUAGCCCGCGUUGGAUUAGGUAGUUGGUGGGGUAAUGGCCUACCAAGCCGACGAUCCAUAGCUGGUUUGAGAGGAUGAUCAGCCACACUGGGACUGAGACACGGCCCAGACUCCUACGGGAGGCAGCAGUGGGGAAUCUUAGACAAGGGGGGCAACCCUGAUCUAGCCAUGCCGCGUGAGUGAUGAAGGCCUUAGGGUUGUAAAGCUCUUUCAGCUGGGAAGAGAAUGACGGUACCAGCAGAAGAAGCCCCGGCUAACUCCGUG